UUGAUCUUGGAGGUCAAGUACAAAUCUUUCACUUAGAUUUCAACUCCCUUGUAUAUACAAGGUUCAUAGGUGAGCUAGAUGUAAACUAUUAGUAUCAACAUAUGGUUAGGCUUAAAUUUCUUUUAGAAGAGUAUCAAAGUUUUCUUAUUGAUGUUUGGGUUCAGAACUUUUCCCAAUUCGGUUUCUCCUAAAUUCAUUUAAAGGUCUAUAAGCACCUAAAAAUGGAUACCGUAAAAAUCGCGGGAUAAGCAUUAGUUUUGUUAGGGACAGAAUAAGUACAACUUAGUUUCGGGAGAACCGAAAAAGUGAGUUUUAGUCAUUUCUCUAUUAACCAGUUUAGCUGAACCUAUUCAAUGAGGCAUGGCAUGACAUAUAUCGGCUUAAGUAAAUAUGCCUCCAUCACUUACUCUGUUUUGCUUCUAAUUUCUUUCAUAUCAGCAGCAUGGUUGUUAACAACUGAGAUAGAUGCUGCUGCAAGGAACCUUGCUGGAAGCUUUGUGUUCCUUGAAGUGAUGCAAUUCGAGCAUAUCUAGUGGCUUUUCUUGGUAUAAAAAAUGUAAAAAGUUAAUGGGGAUAAAAGCCACGUCAAAGGGUAAUACCGUUUGAGGUUUCUUAAGCACGCUCUCUUGGCUGAAAUGGCAUGAGAUGACUAGCGGUCGAAAGUAUUCUAGCCAGCUGGCUGGGCACAUCAUCGUCGUCGUCAUCAGAAGACAUAUCACUGUUGUUGAUGGUGUUUGAUAUUUCGUGUAUGAAUAAACCAGAUGAUAGAUGUUGUGUGGUCGGGAGUGGUCUCUUUUCCUCUUAUCUUCAACAACUGAUAAGAUUAGUGUAGGCUAAAUUCAGAAAGCUUAUCGUAUAGAUGACCUCUGUCCUGUGACAUAUUACUUGUUUGAUUGACAUAUACAUACCUCUUUUACCUUUAUCAUAUAGAUGACCUCUGUCCUAUGACAUAUUUUAAUCAGAUGCACCAAGGAUAUUCGAUCCUUCUUCUGGGCAGAAAUAUGCAACUUCAUUCAUCAGAUGUUCGAAUCAUCAUGGUCCAUUGAAGCUAUUGAAUUUUUUCUUCAUCUAGAUGUUGCUAUAUUGGUCCGCACAACAAUGAAAAUUAAUAGUGUUUCGAAGCGUGUGAAUUGAAGAUAAUUGACUCACAACAUUGACAUUUACCCCCUACCCCCCCAACAAUCUGGCUAUACCACGUCUCCUUUUUUCUGGUGGGCUUCUUAUUCAUUGGUUGAUUUGUUUGUUUAGGUUAGGAUAAAUGGCGAUUGUUGCAGAUAAUCUGGUCAAGGAAAUUGUCAAGAAGAAUAUAUACUUCCUAAUCUAGUAGUUAGCAAAAGCAAUGCCAAGGACUGGUAAACAAGAAGAUUUUGACAGUGCAGAGCAAACUGCUGAUAAGGGGAAGACUCUUGUCCCCUUGACAGCCGCCGCAUGCUUUUUUGACCGGUUUAAGGAUGACCAACCCGGAGCGUGAGGAAGACAUAUAACUUGGCAGCUACAAAACAACAAGAAAUAGGUGAAGAGGACCGUGCAUGAAUGAAAAUGUCAGGUUUACCUGGGAAGAUGCGCGUAUGAGGCGAGGAUCUGUCCAGCACAGAUGGGAGGUGGAUCAGAUGCAAUUAGGAGGCCUCCGGCGAUGGCUGCGACAACACCCGACGAGGAAAGACGACAACAGUUUGGAGGCCUCCGACGAUGGUUGUGACAGCACGAGGCGAACAGAGGCAACAUCACAGUUUGGAGGCCUCUGGCGAUGGCUGCGACAACAUCGGGCGAGAAUAGGCGAGCAUCAUAGUUUGGAGGCCUCCGACUUUGGCUACGACGGCACCUGGUGACGAUAGGCGAUGGAUCGGUUGAGGAGGCGGCACCAGGCGAGGGGAGUUUGGUGCUCGGGUGAAGAGGAGGUGCAUGAAGGUUGGAUGACUUGGCUUUUGGAAAUAACUGGCAAGGUCCAUCUAUUGGGACGUGCCUUAUUGGGUCUUGAACUGUAUUUUUGUGCGUGCUUUUGCCCUGUUGUGUAGAUGAGUGAUACGUCUUCAUCGUAUCUACUUUUCCAAACUCUUUUGCCCUUGUUUUGAA
Molecule: RNA transcript, 2073 nt
Organism: Hordeum vulgare subsp. vulgare (domesticated barley)
Lineage: Eukaryota; Viridiplantae; Streptophyta; Magnoliopsida; Poales; Poaceae
Exons: 3
Source: RefSeq, a predicted model, not a curated record